GGUGAACUAUACUUGAACGGAUUGAAGCCGAAGGAAACUUUGGUGGAAGAUUCACGCAGUGUUAACGUGCAAAUUACUUGUCAUAUUUGAGUAUAGGGGCGAAAGACUCAUCGAACUAUCUAGUAGCUGGUUCCACCUGAAUAUUCCCUUAGGAAGGUCAAAGUAUUAAUAGUAUUGAUUGGUAAAGAUAAUGAUUAGGUGUAAUGGGUGAGUAUUUUCACUCAACAUCUUGUCAAACUAUGAAUAAACAAAGAAGAAUUCUCAGUGUUAAAUACACUUCAGGAAUUUAAAUAUAAACAUACUUUGAAUCGGCCAAGUCUGGUAAGCAGGACUGGCGAUGCGGGAUGAACCGAACGUCGAGAUAAAGUGCCAAAAAGAAACAUAACGAGUACCACAAAAGGUAUUCAUUCAUAUUGACAAUAGGACGGUGGCCAUGGAAGUCGGAAACCGCUAAGGAAUGUGUAACAACUCACCUAUCGAAUGAAUGAGUCCUGAAAAUGGAUGGCAUUAUAAUUUCUUAACUGAUACUCGACCGUUAAAAUGAAGACAUUUUAACGAGUAAGGAAACGAAAUGGCGUAAGGACAACAAAAGUAGUAAAGAUUUAAAGUAAUUUAGAUUGAAACUGUCCUUAGUGCAGAUCUUGGUGGUAGUAGCAAAUACUAAGAAGAGGAAAAAAACAUCUUAGAACUGAAGAGGAGAAAGGUUCCUAAACAACAUUACUUGGAUUAGGGUGAAUCGAUCCUAAAUUACAGAUGGAAAUCCUUAAGAAAUAUAUAAGUGACAUAUAGUCAAUAUAAGGAUUGAAAGGGAAUAAGAUUAAUAGUUCUUAAUCAAGAGAAUUAAUGAUUAAAUCUUAGAAAUAAGAUUAAAUCGAAUAAAAUGGUAACAUAUCAUGAACUUUAAAAUGGAGUGUGAAAAUCUACGGAAGAGUUCUCUUUUCUUCUUAACAAAAGUAAACUCCACUGAAAUGAAUCAAUCAGAGAAGUGGAAUUUAUUGGCUUUGUAAGAAAUUCAACAUAUGAUUGAAUUGUGGUAUUUUUGCAGUCUUCAUAAAAAUUAAAGGGAAUCUUAGCAUAAAGCUAAUUAAAGAAUUCUUUUGCUCGUACUAAUAACCGCAACAGGUCUCCAAGAAGCAAAAUCUUUAGUUAAAUAGAAUAACGCAGGUAAGGGAAGUCGGCAACAUAGCUCUGUAAGUUAGCAAGAAAGAGUAGCUCUGGUGAUUUCCUUGUAAAAGGAUUAAAAUCGAAUCAGAACUUUAAAGGUUAGGGGAAUCCGACUGUUUAAUAAAAAACAUAGCAUUCUGAUAAAUCUAAAAGGUUCAUUACAGAAUGUGAUUUCUGCCCAGUGCUCUGAAUGUCAAGGUAAUGAAAUUUACUUAAGCGCGGGUUAACGGCGGGAGUAACUAUGACUCUCUUAAGGUAGCCAAAUGCCUCGUCAUCUAAUUAGUGACGCGCAUGAAUGGAUCACCGUGAUUCCCACUGUCCCUAUCUGCAAUCUAGUGAAACCACAGUCAAGGGAACGGGCUUGAUUGGAACGGCGGGGAAAGAAGACCCUGUUGAGCUUGACUCUAAUUUAUCAUGUGAAAUCGAUUUUUUGGUAUAGGCUAGGUGGGAGACUUUGUCAAACGUGUAAUACCACCACUAGAAAUACUAUUUCACUCAUUUCGUUAAAUGUUAAAAUGGAUUUUCCAUUAAUUUAAAAACAUUAAAACUUCGGUUGAAACAGGCGAUUGAAAAAGAUAGACGGGGAGUUUGGCUGGGGCGGCACAUCUGUUACAAGAUAACGCAGGUGUCCAAAGAUGAACUCAAUGAGGACAGAAACCUCAUGUAGAAUAUAAGGGUAUAAGUUCAUUUGAUUAUUGAUUCCAGUACAAUCAAUAACUCUGAAAUGAUGGCCUAACGAUCCCUAAGAUUUUUAACUAGAAAAAAUUUAAAACAUAUUAGAUUUAUCUGAUGUGUGAGACCGUAAGGUGAUUUCUAGUUAAUCCUUUAAUAAUAAGGCUUGGGGUGUCAGAAAAGUUACCACAGGGAUAACUGGCUUGUGGCAGCCAAGCGCUCAUAGCGACGUUGCUUUUUGAUCCUUCGAUGUCGGCUCUUCCUAUCCAUUUCAAGCAGAAUUGAAAAAAGGUAUGAUUGUUCACCAUUUAAUAGGGAACGUGA
This 2160-nucleotide ribosomal RNA is filed under the name Entamoeba dispar SAW760. Its description in RNAcentral is "eukaryotic LSU rRNA". It matches the Rfam family "Eukaryotic large subunit ribosomal RNA", at positions 825 to 2955 of the family's 3401-position model. The record is from RNAcentral. Lineage: Eukaryota; Evosea; Mastigamoebida; Endamoebidae.